UACGUAGGGUGCGAGCGUUGUCCGGAAUUAUUGGGCGUAAAGGGCUCGUAGGCGGUUUGUCGCGUCUGCCGUGAAAGUCCGGGGCUCAACUCCGGAUCUGCGGUGGGUACGGGUAGACUAGAGUGAUGUAGGGGAGACUGGAAUUCCUGGUGUAGCGGUGAAAUGCGCAGAUAUCAGGAGGAACACCGAUGGCGAAGGCAGGUCUCUGGGCAUUAACUGACGCUGAGGAGCGAAAGCAUGGGGAGCGAACAGG
This 253-nucleotide ribosomal RNA is filed under the name uncultured bacterium. RNAcentral describes it as "partial 16S ribosomal RNA". It matches the Rfam family "Bacterial small subunit ribosomal RNA", at positions 524 to 776 of the family's 1533-position model. The record is from RNAcentral.